Non-coding RNA from Trametes maxima, 89 nucleotides. The record is from the annotation of a GenBank genome assembly. Lineage: Eukaryota; Fungi; Basidiomycota; Agaricomycetes; Polyporales; Polyporaceae.
CCUUCGAUAGCUCAGCUGGAAGAGCGUGAGACUGUAACUGGUUACACUACGACAUCUCAAGGUCGCUGGUUCGAACCCGGCUCGAAGGA